This 549-nucleotide ribosomal RNA is filed under the name uncultured bacterium. Its description in RNAcentral is "bacterial SSU rRNA". It matches the Rfam family "Bacterial small subunit ribosomal RNA", at positions 355 to 896 of the family's 1533-position model. The record is from RNAcentral.
UAGGGAAUCUUCGGCAAUGGGGGCAACCCUGACCGAGCAACGCCGCGUGAGUGAAGAAGGUUUUCGGAUCGUAAAGCUCUGUUGUAAGUCAAGAACGAGUGUGAGAGUGGAAAGUUCACACUGUGACGGUAGCUUACCAGAAAGGGACGGCUAACUACGUGCCAGCAGCCGCGGUAAUACGUAGGUCCCGAGCGUUGUCCGGAUUUAUUGGGCGUAAAGCGAGCGCAGGCGGUUUGAUAAGUCUGAAGUUAAAGGCUGUGGCUCAACCAUAGUUUGCUUUGGAAACUGUCAAACUUGAGUGCAGAAGGGGAGAGUGGAAUUCCAUGUGUAGCGGUGAAAUGCGUAGAUAUAUGGAGGAACACCGGUGGCGAAAGCGGCUCUCUGGUCUGUAACUGACGCUGAGGCUCGAAAGCGUGGGGAGCGAACAGGAUUAGAUACCCUGGUAGUCCACGCCGUNNCGAUGAGUGCUAGGUGUUGGGUCCUUUCCGGGAUUCAGUGCCGCAGCUAANNCANUAANCACUCCNNCUGGGGAGUACNACCGCANGGUUG